CAUGCAUGUCUAAGUACUUGCUUUAACAAGGCGAAACCGCGAAUGGCUCAUUAAAUCAGUUAUGGUUCACUAGAUCGUAUAUCCUACACGGAUAACUGAGGUAAUUCUUCAGCUAAUACGUGCUACAAGCUCGUUCCCUUGUGGAGCGAGCGCAGUUAUUAGAACAAAACCAAUCCGGCCUUGUGUCGGUUAAAAUGGUGACUCUGAAUAACCGAAGCGGAGCGUAUGGUCUCGUACCGACGCCAGAUCUUUCAAGUGACUGCUCUAUCAGCUUGUUGUUAGGUUAUGCUCCUAACAAGGCUUCAACGGGUAACGGGGUAUCAGGGUCCGAUACCGGAGAGGGAGCCUGAGAAACGGCUACCACAUCCAAGGAAGGCAGCAGGCGCGCAAAUUACCCACUCCCAGCACGGGGAGGUAGUGACGAAAAAUAACGAUGCGAGGGCAUAUUGCUUCUCGUAAUCGGAAUGGGUACACUUUAAAUCCUUUAACGAGGAUCUAUUGGAGGGCAAGUCUGGUGCCAGCAGCCGCGGUAAUUCCAGCUCCAAUAGCGUAUAUUAAAGUUGCUGCGGUUAAAAAGCUCGUAGUUGAUCGUAGACGUAGGAUGGGUGGUGCGCCUAACGGCGCUACUGCUCGUUCCGACGUCAAAAGCCGGUCAUGUCUUGCAUAUCCUUCAUUGUAUGUGCUUGGCGGCCGGAGCGUUUACUUUGAAAAAAUUAGAGUGCUCAAAGCAGGCGUACGGCCUUGCAUAAUGGUGCAUGGAAUAAUGGAAUAGGACCUCGGUUCUAUUUUGUUGGUUAUCGGAGCUCGAGGUAAUGAUUAAGAGGAACAG
This 829-nucleotide ribosomal RNA is filed under the name Mesobiotus harmsworthi. Its description in RNAcentral is "SSU rRNA". It matches the Rfam family "Eukaryotic small subunit ribosomal RNA", at positions 50 to 881 of the family's 1831-position model. Lineage: Eukaryota; Metazoa; Tardigrada; Eutardigrada; Parachela; Macrobiotidae. The record is from RNAcentral.